This 19-nucleotide microRNA is filed under the name Corchorus olitorius. RNAcentral's name for it is "hsa-miR-61". Lineage: Eukaryota; Viridiplantae; Streptophyta; Magnoliopsida; Malvales; Malvaceae. The record is from RNAcentral.
AAUGGAAUUGGAGUCUAAA